This 938-nucleotide long non-coding RNA is filed under the name Numida meleagris (helmeted guineafowl). Its description in RNAcentral is "lncRNA (ENSNMEG00000004075.1)". The record is from RNAcentral. Lineage: Eukaryota; Metazoa; Chordata; Aves; Galliformes; Numididae.
CCUAUACCUGAACUCAGUCUUUAAUACAUGCUGUAUCUUUCUUGAAAUACAUCAAUGUAUUGCAGCUUACAGCAUCCUGAAAUUGCUUUUUUUGUCUGCUCUUCUGCAUGUGUAAUCCUCCUUAAAAACAUUUUUCUUACACUGUAGAUACAUUCCAAUGAACAUCACUGAGAUCUUGAUUUUAGAUAAGUACUGCUGGAAAGACGAGCGCAUAACCCUAUCUGCAAAACCAUUCAGCUAGCCUACCCUUCCUACUUGCGUUCUUCCUAUGUAACUGUCUUAAGUAUUUCUAGGGACCUAUCGCUUGGUAUCUAGAAGCAUCUAUUUGCCAACAGUAUUUUUCAAGACACUGGAUUAUACUAUAAAACAAUUCUGAAAGAUUUAUUCAGACCUGGCACAUGAAACAGACUCCCUCACCCUUUGCAGAGGCACCAAAGAGAGAAAGGAAAACCUUACGGUAUUUAAAAACAUUUUUGAGAUCUGCGUGGUGAUUCAUCAGUUAAUUUUAUCAGAACUGAUGGAAAAGUGAAGCACGUCUCCCAUAUCACAGGUUUGACUUGAAUGCUGUGAAGUAUAUGCAGAGAGACAACAUAUAAAAUUCUCAUAAAAAGCUAGAGUAUGGAUGACAAAGUACAGUAGAAAUUUCACUGACCACAGACGACAGAAGGGAGAGCUGUUUUCUUUGAGGAGAAAGGGGGUGCCUCGGAAGCCUGAUUUCAUCCAGCAACAUCACCAACAGAUGUACCUCAUAUACGUAUACAGUACUGAGCUAUCUUUCUUACAGCCUAAAAGGUAAUAACGAUUACUGCAAACAUUAGCAAGUAAAGCCUUGAAGCACUCCCUUAAGAUACUAUUACUACGUAUUUACACAGUGAGAGACUGUGAUAUAGUCUUAAGUGUAAGCUAUUUCUGCAAGUUCUCCAAGAGAGCUAAGAAUA